CGGCGCGGCAGAAGCCGCCGCUCCCUGCGCGUCCCGCGGCGGUGCGGACGCCUCCUCCGGGACGGGGCUGCCCGAUCGCUCUCCGGUCCCUGCGCUCCGGCGCUGCCGCUCCCGCGCCGACGAAAGGCGGGGGAUUUCCGUUCUCCCGGCCCCGGUGGGGGAACGCGACCUGUUCGCCGGCACGCGUGGAGCCGUCCCGGGGCAGGAGCUCGGAGUUCUUCCAAAGCUCCUCGACAUUUCAUGUUCAUUCAUGCACUGCCCCGUGCCCAGUUCAUUUAACCGGCCCCCAGAUUACCCUAUUACCGCUCUCAAACUGUUUACCCGUUCAUCCACGGCUGAAGCAGAGAAAAGGGCACCUCCUGACACCAUGGACAGCGCAAGGGACAGAAUUACCCAAAGAAUAAGACAGCAAGAUCCCUUUCCAAGGAGAUUGGCACAGGUUUAUACACCUGGUCACAGGCACCUGGCACCCCUCUAACACUGCUCCCACCACUGGACAGAAGAGGCAAAAAUGGGGCUGUGAAAGUGUUCUGAUGACAUCAGUAUGCUUCCCUGGCAACAAAUACUAUAUCCUACCUACUCGUUCAUCAGUACAAUUGGGUAAAAACAGAAAAUGUGGAAAGGAGUAUGGGUGAGUACUAAAAGCUACUCCUUGAAGAGCUCCAGUGAUUCCUCAAGCAAGGUUCAGUAUUACUUCCACAUUCCCCUUGACCUCUUCAGCAACACUGAAGUACAGAGAUCUCAAUUGCUGAAUAUCAGUGGUACAAGACAGGGAUACUUCCUGCUGAACCAUACGAUGAUACUCCAAACAAGGAAUCUAUAACUAGAUUUAAUGAGAUUAGGAACCCCAAACAGGACUCCAUUGAAAGUGGGCUUAGGAGAAGAAUCCUCUCUCUGAUGCUCUGAAACACUGCAAAUGGGAGUUUUCUAGCAUAAUCAAAAUCAUCUAACAAGCCAAGAAGUGCAAAACAUAUCUUUCCACAGAGUUCUCCAUAGCAAGUUUAAAGCCUUAAUUUUUGACCUUUAAAGCACUAUGUGGUCUCUCUCUCUCUCUUUUUUUUUUUUUUUUAAAUAAAUACAAAUUAGAUAGCUACAGUAUUGAAGUUCUUUACAAAAAUCCCACUGGGUAUCUAUCUUUGAAAAUCUGGCACUAACCAAGUUUUGAGCUAAAUCCUAAGUGGCCUAGAUCCCAACCUCAGAGGAGGUUAGGCUAGCACAGAAUCCUAACCACAAAAGCAUGAGGGCAGUAAGCCAACAAUGCCAGUUUAAGCACUGCUGGCAGGACUGUGUCCCCUUACACAUCUCCCCUCUGAGCCUCAUGGCUCAGAGUGAGGCCACAAGAGUGGCAGCAGGUCUGUCUUGUCCAGUUACAGAUUCUGCACAGCAACUCAGCCAGUGUGUACUCUUGUAUUUGCUGGGCUCAGCCAGGGCUUUAAGACAGG
Molecule: long non-coding RNA, 1442 nt
Filed under: Gallus gallus (chicken)
Lineage: Eukaryota; Metazoa; Chordata; Aves; Galliformes; Phasianidae
Description: lncRNA (ENSGALG00010007291.1)
Source: RNAcentral